Molecule: long non-coding RNA, 520 nt
Organism: Mobula hypostoma (lesser devil ray)
Lineage: Eukaryota; Metazoa; Chordata; Chondrichthyes; Myliobatiformes; Myliobatidae
Exons: 3
Source: RefSeq, a predicted model, not a curated record
CAGAUGCUGCCAGACCUGCUGAGUUCCUCCAGUGACUUGUGUGUCAUUCCUUUUUUGGAGAACAUGAAUGGAUUUUUGGGUUCCUGCAUCUGUCAGCAGACACAGACAUUUACAGGAAAAUAAAGAAAUACAAAUGAACAUGAGAAACGAUACAUAAACAAAUACCGACAUGCAACAAAAGUGCAAAAGAAGACAAAUCAUGUAAAAAAGAACAAUUAAUACUAAGAGCAUGAAUUAUAGAAAACCUGAAGCCUCGGCCCUCCACUCCGUCCUGUCCCACCUAGAAAAUGAUGCCUCAUACGCCAGGAUGUUGUUCGUGGACUACUGCUUGGCAUUUAACGUGAUCGUCCCUCAGAGGCUGGUGGGUAAACUGUCCUCGUUGGGACUCAAAACUCCUCUCUGUAAUUGGAUCUUGGGCUUCUUGAAGGAGAGACCGCAGUCGUUCCAAGCGGAUGGCAGCAUCUCAAGCUCCAUCAUGAGCACUGGUCACCCUCAGAUGUGUGCGCUCAGUCCGCUGCUG